Molecule: ribosomal RNA, 239 nt
Filed under: uncultured bacterium
Lineage: Bacteria
Description: partial 16S ribosomal RNA
Rfam family: Bacterial small subunit ribosomal RNA
Source: RNAcentral
CGUGCCCUACGGGGGGCAGCAGUAGGGAAUCUUCCACAAUGGGCGCAAGCCUGAUGGAGCAACACCGCGUGAGUGAAGAAAGGUUUCGGCUCGUAAAGCUCUGUUGUUGGAGAAGAAAGUGCGUGAGAGCAACUGUUCACGCAGUGACGGUAUCCAACCAGAAAGUCACGGCUAACUACGUGCCAACAGCCGCGGUAAUACGUAGGUGGCAAGCGUUAUCCGGCUUUAUUGGGCGUAAA